Otolemur garnettii (small-eared galago) is the source of this 237-nucleotide long non-coding RNA. RefSeq lists it as uncharacterized. NCBI's taxonomy places the organism in Eukaryota, Metazoa, Chordata, Mammalia, Primates, Galagidae. The transcript has 3 exons. The record is from RefSeq and is a predicted model, not a curated record.
CCUUGGCUACUGCAUGCUGCGGUGGCUGUGUGGGAAACUUCCCUGGGAAAAGAACCUGAAGGACCCCAAGGCUGUGCAGACUGCUAAAACAAAUCUGUUGGAUGAGCUCCCUGAGUCAGUGCUUAAUUGGGCUCCUUCUGGAAGCAGUUGCUAUGAAAUAGCCCAGUUCUUGGAAUGUGCUUAUAGUUUAGCAUAUGACGAAAAGCCAAAUUAUCAAGAGCUCAAGAAAAUUUUGAA